AAAAGGAAUUGUGAUUUUU
RNAcentral lists this microRNA (19 nucleotides) under Corchorus capsularis. Its description in RNAcentral is "sRNA CCACVL1_24021". The record is from RNAcentral. Lineage: Eukaryota; Viridiplantae; Streptophyta; Magnoliopsida; Malvales; Malvaceae.